UUCAAAUCAGGACUCCCCCUUUGGCAGAGACAAGGGAGGUCCUGAGCAAAUGAAAUGAGGGUGUUUUAAAUAGGAGCAGCAUGGAAGUAUUUGCAGAGAUGCUUUUGAGUAGAGCUGAGAACAGAGUAUUGAGGGACUGUAACAGAAGGAGGAAUGUUGCAGAAGAGCUACCAGAAGAAAUGCUGGCAGAGUGGUUAGAGAGAUAAGAGAAUAGAAGAAGGGGCACAGAAAGCAAGGAGAAGAGGAUCAUCCAUAUUACUGAAGUCAGAAAAAAACUCAAUGAGAAUGGGAAUGGAGCAUCGGCCCAUAAGUACAGGCAGAAAAAGAUCAUCUGAUAUUUUGACUGCUCCCCACCACAAGAGGACACAUGAAGAACCUGGAAACAAAGAACACUAAUGUGCGAGGUAGAAGCAGCUGGACCCCUGUCAGAAAAGAAGAUCAGCUCUGGCCUAAAGGACUUUACCUAAAAUUAAGGACUAAGGCCACAAGACUUUGACCCUACAGCAGGAGCAUAGCACUUCAUGAGACUUCUGUCAAAGCACAUGAUAAAAAAUAAAUAUACUCUAAUAAAAAAG
Molecule: non-coding RNA, 575 nt
Organism: Pelodiscus sinensis (Chinese soft-shelled turtle)
Lineage: Eukaryota; Metazoa; Chordata; Testudines; Trionychidae
Source: RefSeq, a predicted model, not a curated record